UACGUAGGUGGCAAGCGUUGUUCGGAAUUACUGGGCGUAAAGGGCUCGUAGGCGGCCAACUAAGUCAGACGUGAAAUCCCUCGGCUUAACCGGGGAACUGCGUCUGAUACUGGAUGGCUAGAGGUUGGGAGAGGGAUGCGGAAUUCCAGGUGUAGCGGUGAAAUGCGUAGAUAUCUGGAGGAACACCGGUGGCGAAGGCGGCAUCCUGGACCAAUUCUGACGCUGAGGAGCGAAAGCGUGGGGAGCAAACAGG
This 253-nucleotide ribosomal RNA is filed under the name uncultured bacterium. RNAcentral's name for it is "partial 16S ribosomal RNA". It matches the Rfam family "Bacterial small subunit ribosomal RNA", at positions 524 to 776 of the family's 1533-position model. The record is from RNAcentral.